UACGUAGGGUGCGAGCGUUGUCCGGAAUUAUUGGGCGUAAAGGGCUCGUAGGCGGUCUGUCACGUCGGGAGUGAAAACUCAGGGCUUAACCCUGAGCCUGCUUCCGAUACGGGCAGACUAGAGGUAUGCAGGGGAGAACGGAAUUCCUGGUGUAGCGGUGAAAUGCGCAGAUAUCAGGAGGAACACCGGUGGCGAAGGCGGUUCUCUGGGCAUUACCUGACGCUGAGGCACGAAGGCCAGGGGAGCAAACGGG
RNAcentral lists this ribosomal RNA (253 nucleotides) under uncultured bacterium. Its description in RNAcentral is "partial 16S ribosomal RNA". It matches the Rfam family "Bacterial small subunit ribosomal RNA", at positions 524 to 776 of the family's 1533-position model. The record is from RNAcentral.